Long non-coding RNA from Pseudophryne corroboree (corroboree frog), 429 nucleotides. RefSeq lists it as uncharacterized. Lineage: Eukaryota; Metazoa; Chordata; Amphibia; Anura; Myobatrachidae. The record is from RefSeq and is a predicted model, not a curated record. The transcript has 2 exons.
UCAAACAGAGAGCCAAACAGCUUACACGAGAGGAGAUGUGUACCACAUAUGGCAGCAUGGUGGAGACAAUUGUGUGCCCAAAAGAUAAAGGGAAAAACAAGCUUUGAAGUUGAAAGCCUUCACUAUGGAACAUCUUAAAUGGAAAGUCCGCCUCCCCAUGCUGGAAUUCGUUAUUGUCAAGAAACGUCAGAUAUAAAGACUUGUGCCCCCCUAAAUUUCUAUAAUGUCUAAGAACAUGCCAGAGGCGAUAGACUGUCCACAAAAGGGGAUUGUCUUUCAACUCCUGAUCGAAUUCCGCCUCUACACCAUGGAGGAAAGUUAUCAGAUUUUUUAUCUUUAUAAAUUGUGCCUCCAGUUGAGUAUUAGCAUAUGUAUCACUGUCAUUUAACUAGUCUCUCAGAAAUCUCAAUAAAGAUGCAUUAUUAUAAA